GAGUUUGAUCGUGGCUCAGAGUGAACGCUGGCGGUAGGCCUAACACAUGCAAGUCGAACGGCAGCACAGCAGUAGCAAUACUGUGGGUGGCGAGUGGCGGACGGGUGAGGAAUACAUCGGAAUCUACUCUGUCGUGGGGGAUAACGUAGGGAAACUUACGCUAAUACCGCAUACGACCUACGGGUGAAAGUGGGGGACCGCAAGGCCUCACGCGAUUGAAUGAGCCGAUGUCGGAUUAGCUAGUUGGCGGGGUAAAGGCCCACCAAGGCGACGAUCCGUAGCUGGUCUGAGAGGAUGAUCAGCCACACUGGGACUGAGACACGGCCCAGACUCCUACGGGAGGCAGCAGUGGGGAAUAUUGGACAAUGGGCGAAAGCCUGAUCCAGCAAUGCCGCGUGAGUGAUGAAGGCCCUAGGGUUGUAAAGCUCUUUUACCCGGGAUGAUAAUGACAGUACCGGGAGAAUAAGCUCCGGCUAACUCCGUGCCAGCCGCCGCUGU
This 498-nucleotide ribosomal RNA is filed under the name uncultured Gammaproteobacteria bacterium. RNAcentral describes it as "bacterial SSU rRNA". It matches the Rfam family "Bacterial small subunit ribosomal RNA", at positions 9 to 521 of the family's 1533-position model. RNAcentral also lists the same sequence under 1 other name. Lineage: Bacteria; Pseudomonadati; Pseudomonadota; Gammaproteobacteria. The record is from RNAcentral.